GAUGAAGAACGCAGCGAAAUGCGAUAAGUAAUGCGAAUUGCAGAAUUUCCGUGAGUCAUCGAAUCUUUGAACGCACAUUGCGCCCGCCAGUAUUCUGGCGGGCAUGCCUGUUCGAGCGUCAUUUCAACCAUCAAGCCCCAGGCUUGUGUUGGAGCCCUGCGGCUGCCGCAGCCUCCCAAAACCAGUGGCGGGCUCGCUAUCACACCGAGUGCAGUAGUUUACUCUUCGCUCAGGGCGUGUGGCGGGUGCUAGCCGUAAAACCCCCAACUUCUCAAGGUUGACCUCGGAUCAGGUAGGAAUACCCGCUGAACUUAAGCAUAUCAAUAAGCGGAGG
Molecule: unclassified non-coding RNA, 334 nt
Filed under: soil metagenome
Description: partial contains 5.8S ribosomal RNA, internal transcribed spacer 2, and large subunit ribosomal RNA
Rfam family: 5.8S ribosomal RNA (bases 1-121)
Source: RNAcentral